Molecule: ribosomal RNA, 253 nt
Filed under: uncultured bacterium
Lineage: Bacteria
Description: partial 16S ribosomal RNA
Rfam family: Bacterial small subunit ribosomal RNA
Source: RNAcentral
UACGGGGGGGGCAAGCGUUGUUCGGAAUUACUGGGCGUAAAGGGUUCGUAGGUGGCUUGCUAAGUCAGACGUGAAAUCCCUCAGCUUAACUGGGGAACUGCGUCUGAUACUGGCGAGCUUGAGUGCAGGAGAGGAACGCAGAAUUCCAGGUGUAGCGGUGAAAUGCGUAGAGAUCGGGAGGAACACCAGUGGCGAAAGCGGCUCUCUGGUCCAAAACUGACGCUGAGGGGCGAAAGCGUGGGGAGCGAACGGG